RNAcentral lists this ribosomal RNA (593 nucleotides) under uncultured bacterium. RNAcentral describes it as "bacterial SSU rRNA". It matches the Rfam family "Bacterial small subunit ribosomal RNA", at positions 60 to 643 of the family's 1533-position model. The record is from RNAcentral.
AGUCGAGGGGCAGCAUGAUUGAAGCUUGCUUCAAUCGAUGGCGACCGGCGCACGGGUGAGUAACACGUAUCCAACCUGCCGAUAACUCGGGGAUAGCCUUUCGAAAGAAAGAUUAAUACCCGAUAGCAUAGUAUUUCCGCAUGGUUUCACUAUUAAAGAACUUCGGUUAUCGAUGGGGAUGCGUUCCAUUAGAUAGUUGGCGGGGUAACGGCCCACCAAGUCAACGAUGGAUAGGGGUUCUGAGAGGAAGGUCCCCCACAUUGGAACUGAGACACGGUCCAAACUCCUACGGGAGGCAGCAGUGAGGAAUAUUGGUCAAUGGACGAGAGUCUGAACCAGCCAAGUAGCGUGAAGGAUGACUGCCCUAUGGGUUGUAAACUUCUUUUAUACGGGAAUAAAGUGGAGUAUGCAUACUCCUUUGUAUGUACCGUAUGAAUAAGGAUCGGCUAACUCCGUGCCAGCAGCCGCGGUAAUACGGAGGAUCCGAGCGUUAUCCGGAUUUAUUGGGUUUAAAGGGAGCGUAGGCGGGUGCUUAAGUCAGUUGUGAAAGUUUGCGGCUCAACCGUAAAAUUGCAGUUGAUACUGGGCGCCUU